RNAcentral lists this transfer RNA (65 nucleotides) under Physopelta gutta (gutta bug). RNAcentral describes it as "tRNA-Phe". The record is from RNAcentral. Lineage: Eukaryota; Metazoa; Arthropoda; Insecta; Hemiptera; Largidae. RNAcentral also lists the same sequence under 1 other name.
AUUUAAGUAGCUUAAUUUUAAAGCUUAAUAUUGAAGAUAUUAUGAUGAAUAUUUUUCCUUAAAUA